GGCUGUCGUUUCAGUGGCACGUGAACCAAGGACAAGUUACAAUACAAACAUUAAUGCAGAUGAUUAACUGCGUACAGGAGUACUUCGAGUUUAAACAGGCUCAGAUUACAAAAGCUUUCAGUAACUUGCUUCAGCUUACUCAGAUAAUAAAACACAGUUAAUGUAGGCGAUACUACCUUGUAAGAUUUCAAGUAUCUUCUGACUCACCAUGAAACAAUCUGGGAUUUAACUGAAGAUUUACCCAAAGAAUCCUAGCAGUAAAUCAGAAUUAAUACAGCUGUAAAGCUGUGCAAAAGACAGGUCUAUCCUCUCAUUAGUGACGGAGUAUGUCAUGAGAAUAUGAAAAGCUGACCUGUAAAAAAGAAUCUACCAAGAAGCAAAGACUGCAGCACACAGAAGAGGAAAGGUAUCAAACAGGGAAGAUGAUCAUCCUCAGGUAUACCAUACAAGUCAAUAUAACAUCAAACCGGAACGUGGCAGGGCAAAUGACGAUGCUAACUUUUUUGGCCAUAUCUUAUAAGGUGAAAUCUAAAAGUAGCACUACCUACUGAAUAGCAACUACGUACAUGCAUAAAAUCUGGUUUCUAUUUCUGUGCCAAAUUUACUACAGUUUUCAACAUGUUACAUCAUGUGUACGCAUUGCUGUUUUCCCAUUCCACUGUCCUGUAGCCAUUAAAACAAAGUGAGAAUACCGGAUGACUUUUAAAUGAACACGCAACUGAUUAGGAGUCCACAGCUACACACAGAUGGAAGACAAGGAUGAUCUAAACAAUCUCACUUACUAGCAUCUUUCAAAAGCAUUCUGAGCAAAACAGCCAGCAAUAUUUUAAGUCAUUAGUCAGCAUGUGAAAAAAAGAAGACCACAGUGUGCUACUUUGUGCUGCAUGAAUAGAGAAGCUCAGCAGUAGCAAAAA
Molecule: non-coding RNA, 914 nt
Organism: Meleagris gallopavo (turkey)
Lineage: Eukaryota; Metazoa; Chordata; Aves; Galliformes; Phasianidae
Source: RefSeq, a predicted model, not a curated record